GACGUAGGAUGCGAGCGUUAUUCGGAUUUAUUGGGCGUAAAGCGUGCGUAGGCGGCUAUUUAAGUCUGGUGUUAAAGCUAGGGGCUCAACCCCUGUGAUGCACUGGAUACUGGGUAGCUUGAGUGCGGUAGGGGAAGGUGGAAUUCCGAGUGUAGCGGUGAAAUGCGCAGAUAUCAGGAAGAACACCCGUGGCGAAAGCGGCUCUCUGGGACGGUACUGACGCUGAGACGCGAAAGCGUGGGGAGCGAACGGG
Molecule: ribosomal RNA, 253 nt
Filed under: uncultured bacterium
Lineage: Bacteria
Description: partial 16S ribosomal RNA
Rfam family: Bacterial small subunit ribosomal RNA
Source: RNAcentral